GACGAACGCUGGCGGCGUGCUUAACACAUGCAAGUCGAACGGAAAGGCCCUGCUUUUGUGGCGUGCUCGAGUGGCGAACGGGUGAGUAACACGUGAGUAACCUGACCUUGACUUUGGGAUAACUUCAGGAAACUGGGGCCAAUACCGGAUAGGAGCUCCUGCUGCAUGGUGGGGGUUGGAAAGUUUCGGCGGUUGGGGAUGGACUCGCGGCUUAUCAGCUUGUUGGUGGGGUAGUGGCUUACCAAGGCUUUGACGGGUAGCCGGCCUGAGAGGGUGACCGGCCACAUUGGGACUGAGGAACGGCCCAGACUCCUACGGGAGGCAGCAGUGGGGAAUAUUGUACCAUGGGCGGAAGCCUGAUGCAGCAACGCUGCAUGCGGGAUGACGGCCUUCGGGUUGUAAACCGCUUUCGCCUGUGACGAAGCGGGAGUGACGGUAAUGGGUAAAGAAGCACCGGCUAACUACGUG
RNAcentral lists this ribosomal RNA (468 nucleotides) under uncultured bacterium. Its description in RNAcentral is "partial 16S ribosomal RNA". It matches the Rfam family "Bacterial small subunit ribosomal RNA", at positions 28 to 507 of the family's 1533-position model. The record is from RNAcentral.